GCUGGCAUAAAAUUUAUUUGACUUCAUUGUUGAUUUUCCUAUUUGUCUUCUUAGACAGCUAUUUCCCCAAUGGACACUUUUUUAGCAGCCCACAUUUGAAGGAAUAUGUGCAGGACCAGUGAUCCCAGCACCCUGCAGAUGUUAACACUUGUGUGUUUCCCCUUUGCCUUCCACCUGCCAGUUUGAACUUGAUGUAAUAACUCAACCGCAGACUCCAAGAAAAAUAGAUUUGGGAUUUCUCUGUGAUCUAUCGCGGCCAUUACUUUCCCCCUAAUUGAAGGGUCCAUCCACAUUCAAGAGAAAUGAUCACCUGUCAUGGGUAACCCACAAUGGAAGGUUUUGGUUGUUUGUUAGUGGGGUGGACUCUGUUGUGUCAAGUCUUAAGAAAAUAAUGAAUUACAAUGCACACUGAUUCCCAUGGACAUUUUGCAAACCAUCAAGGCCAUAAGUCAUUUUCAGCACCUUUAUUCUGUCCCAACGAGUAAGAUUUGACCACAGUGUGAACAAAUAUAUUAGUCAUCUGAAAGAUCCAAAGACGAUCAUCAAGCAUCCUUUGUCAACAAGGCUUCAAUGGACCUGACUGUUGAGGACCAGAUUUGUCAAUCUUUGCAGACUGGAUAAUUCGCCAUAUUAGCUGUGAGCUUAGCUGAUUGUUUGGAGCUUUCCUGCAUGCAUCCCUGGCCUGACAACUGAGAUCCCUGUGUUAUUUUGUGAUAUCCUUACCAAAAUAUACAAGACAUUCUAUUCAAUUCCAAGAAGCUCAUGAUCUUCAAGGAGAGGUAUGAAAAGAAAAUCUGUGGAUGUCCAGCAUGUGUGUGUGUGCGUGUGCGUGUGCGUGUGCGUGUGUGUGUGUGUGUG
Molecule: long non-coding RNA, 858 nt
Organism: Alosa sapidissima (American shad)
Lineage: Eukaryota; Metazoa; Chordata; Actinopteri; Clupeiformes; Clupeidae
Exons: 4
Source: RefSeq, a predicted model, not a curated record